GAUGAACGCUGGCGGCGUGCCUAAUACAUGCAAGUCGAGCGAACAGAUAAGGAGCUUGCUCCUUUGACGUUAGCGGCGGACGGGUGAGUAACACGUGGGUAACCUACCUAUAAGACUGGAAUAACUCCGGGAAACCGGGGCUAAUGCCGGAUAACAUUUAGAACCGCAUGGUUCUAAAGUGAAAGACGGUUUUGCUAUCACUUAUAGAUGGACCCGCGCCGUAUUAGCUAGUUGGUAAGGUAACGGCUUACCAAGGCAACGAUACGUAGCCGACCUGAGAGGGUGAUCGGCCACACUGGAACUGAGACACGGUCCAGACUCCUACGGGAGGCAGCAGUAGGGAAUCUUCCGCAAUGGGCGAAAGCCUGACGGAGCAACGCCGCGUGAGUGAUGAAGGUCUUCGGAUCGUAAAACUCUGUUAUUAGGGAAGAACAAAUGUGUAAGUAACUGUGCACGUCUUGACGGUACCUAAUCAGAAAGCCACGGCUAACUACGUG
This 497-nucleotide ribosomal RNA is filed under the name uncultured bacterium. Its description in RNAcentral is "partial 16S ribosomal RNA". It matches the Rfam family "Bacterial small subunit ribosomal RNA", at positions 28 to 507 of the family's 1533-position model. The record is from RNAcentral.